Long non-coding RNA from Hibiscus syriacus, 321 nucleotides. RefSeq lists it as uncharacterized. The transcript is spliced from 2 exons. Lineage: Eukaryota; Viridiplantae; Streptophyta; Magnoliopsida; Malvales; Malvaceae. The record is from RefSeq and is a predicted model, not a curated record.
CUUUCAUUUCCUCACUUUCGUCGCAGGCUUUGAAGAAGGAAGCAAAACCAGUGAUUCGGAGCUGCGAAAAGAGAUCGAUUUCGAAGUCUUUUCGUCAUGAGAGCUAAGUGGAAGAAGAAGCGUAUGAGGAGGUUGAAGAGGAAGAGAAGAAAGAUGAGGCAAAGAUCUAAGUAAUCUAAUUUCUUUGGAAGCCAGUAAUUCCGAUCUCUUGUUCUUUAGAUUUCGCGUUGCUUCAUGGAUACUUUACUUUUAAGAAGGAUUUUCGUUGUUGCCUUUGAUGAACCAUUUUGAUCUUAUUGGGAGCAUGUUGAUUUUUUUUUA